AUUGAACGCUGGCGGCAGGCCUAACACAUGCAAGUCGAACGGUAACAGGGAUCAGCUUGCUGAUUCGCUGACGAGUGGCGGACGGGUGAGUAAUGUCUGGGAAACUGCCUGAUGGCGGGGGAUAACUACUGGAAACGGUAGCUAAUACCGCAUAACGUCGCAAGACCAAAGAGGGGGACCUUCGGGCCUCUUGCCAUCGGAUGUGCCCAGAUGGGAUUAGCUAGUAGGUGGGGUAACGGCUCACCUAGGCGACGAUCCCUAGCUGGUCUGAGAGGAUGACCAGCCACACUGGAACUGAGACACGGUCCAGACUCCUACGGGAGGCAGCAGUGGGGAAUAUUGCACAAUGGGCGCAAGCCUGAUGCAGCCAUGCCGCGUGUAUGAAGAAGGCCUUCGGGUUGUAAAGUACUUUCAGCGGGGAGGAAGGGAGUAAAGUUAAUACCUUUGCCCAUUGACGGUACCCGCAGAAGAAGCACCGGCUAACUCCGUG
This 490-nucleotide ribosomal RNA is filed under the name uncultured bacterium. Its description in RNAcentral is "partial 16S ribosomal RNA". It matches the Rfam family "Bacterial small subunit ribosomal RNA", at positions 30 to 507 of the family's 1533-position model. The record is from RNAcentral.